This 424-nucleotide ribosomal RNA is filed under the name uncultured Dialister sp. RNAcentral's name for it is "bacterial SSU rRNA". It matches the Rfam family "Bacterial small subunit ribosomal RNA", at positions 355 to 794 of the family's 1533-position model. Lineage: Bacteria; Bacillati; Bacillota; Negativicutes; Veillonellales; Veillonellaceae. The record is from RNAcentral.
UGGGGAAUAUUGGGCAAUGGGGGAAACCCUGACCCAGCAACGCCGCGUGAAGGAAGAAGGCCCUCGGGUUGUAAACUUCUUUUACCAGGGACGAAGGACGUGACGGUACCUGGAGAAAAAGCAACGGCUAACUACGUGCCAGCAGCCGCGGUAAUACGUAGGUGGCAAGCGUUGUCCGGAAUUAUUGGGCGUAAAGCGCGCGCAGGCGGCUUCUUAAGUCCAUCUUAAAAGUGCGGGGCUUAACCCCGUGAUGGGAUGGAAACUGAGAGGCUGGAGUAUCGGAGAGGAAAGUGGAAUUCCUAGUGUAGCGGUGAAAUGCGUAGAGAUUAGGAAGAACACCGGUGGCGAAGGCGACUUUCUGGACGACAACUGACGCUGAGGCGCGAAAGCGUGGGGAGCAAACAGGAUUAGAUACCCUGGUAGU